Molecule: ribosomal RNA, 383 nt
Filed under: uncultured bacterium
Lineage: Bacteria
Description: bacterial SSU rRNA
Rfam family: Bacterial small subunit ribosomal RNA
Source: RNAcentral
AUUGAACGCUGGCGGAAUGCUUUACACAUGCAAGUCGAGCGGCAGCGCGGGGGCAACCCUGGCGGCGAGCGGCGAACGGGUGAGUAACACAUCGGAACGUACCCAGUGGUGGGGGAUAGCCCGGCGAAAGCCGGAUUAAUACCGCAUACGACCUGAGGGGGAAAGUGGGGGACCGCAAGGCCUCACGCCGUUGGAGCGGCCGAUGUUCGAUUAGCUAGUUGGUAGGGUAAAGGCCUACCAAGGCGACGAUCGAUAGCUGGUCUGAGAGGACGACCAGCCACACUGGAACUGAGACACGGUCCAGACUCCUACGGGAGGCAGCAGUGGGGAAUUUUGGGACAAUGGGGGCAACCCUGAUCCAGCCAUUCCGCGUGAGUGAAGAA